AUAGAGAUGGCGGGCCCCCGCGCCCCCGUCCCCAACCCUUUGUCGACCAAACCACUUUUGCCUCGGGGGCAGAGCGGCCUCCGCCGCCCCCGGUGGACCAUUUAACCCUGUCUCUGUACGUCGGAGUCUUUGAUAAAUAAAUGA
This 144-nucleotide unclassified non-coding RNA is filed under the name uncultured fungus. Its description in RNAcentral is "sequence contains ITS1, 5.8S rRNA gene". The record is from RNAcentral. Lineage: Eukaryota; Fungi.